This is a microRNA precursor of Oryza sativa Japonica Group (Japanese rice), 206 nucleotides long. It matches the Rfam family "MIR812 microRNA precursor family". NCBI's taxonomy places the organism in Eukaryota, Viridiplantae, Streptophyta, Magnoliopsida, Poales, Poaceae. The record is from Rfam.
UAAAAAAACAAACCCUGAUUUCCGUGUCCAAUGUUUAGCUGUGUGUCUUAUAUGAAAUUUUUUUAUAAUUAGUAUUUUUAUUAUUGUUAGAUGAUAAAACAUGAUUAAUACUUUAUGCAUGACUUGUCUUUUUAUUUUUUUUUAUAAUUUUUUAAAUAAGACGGACGGUCAAACGUUAGACACGGAAACCCAGGAUUUGUCUUUUU